GGCGGCGUAGCUCAGUUUGGACAGAGCAGGAGAAUCAUAAUCUCUGUGUCAGGGGUUCAAAUCCCUUCGCCGCCA
RNAcentral lists this transfer RNA (75 nucleotides) under Caldifarciminota bacterium. Its description in RNAcentral is "tRNA-Met". It matches the Rfam family "tRNA". From Rfam's summary of the family: Transfer RNA (tRNA) molecules are approximately 80 nucleotides in length. Their secondary structure includes four short double-helical elements and three loops (D, anti-codon, and T loops). Further hydrogen bonds mediate the characteristic L-shaped molecular structure. tRNAs have two regions of fundamental functional importance: the anti-codon, which is responsible for specific mRNA codon recognition, and the 3' end, to which the tRNAs corresponding amino acid is attached (by aminoacyl-tRNA synthetases). tRNAs cope with the degeneracy of the genetic code in two manners: having more than one tRNA (with a specific anti-codon) for a particular amino acid; and 'wobble' base-pairing, i.e. permitting non-standard base-pairing at the 3rd anti-codon position. The record is from RNAcentral. Lineage: Bacteria; Pseudomonadati; Caldifarciminota.